AAAGACUUAGUCCUAACCUUACCGUUAAUUUCUGCUAAACAUAUACAUGCAAGUAUCUGCGAUCCAGUGUAAAUGCCCUAAACCUCUUACCAAGACAAAAGGAGCGGGCAUCAGGCACACCCAAAGUUGUAGCCCAAGACGCCUUGCUUAGCCACACCCCCACGGGCACUCAGCAGUAAUCAACAUUAAGCAAUAAGUGUAAACUUGACUUAGUUAUAGCAACCACCCAGGGCCGGUAAAUCUUGUGCCAGCCACCGCGGUCAUACAAGAGACCCAAAUUAACUGUAAUACGGCGUAAAGAGUGGCAUGAUGUUAUCACAACAACUAAGAUCGAAAUACAAUUGAGCUGUCAUAAGCUUAAAAUGUACUUAAGGCCCCCCCUUAACACGAUCUCAGCACCAAUGAACAAUUUCACUACCACGAAAGCUAGGGCACAAACUGGGAUUAGAUACCCCACUAUGCCUAGCCAUAAAUCUCGACACUUGUUUAACCAAAGUGUCCGCCCGAGAACUACGAGCACAAACGCUUAAAACUCUAAGGACUUGGCGGUGCCCCAAACCCACCUAGAGGAGCCUGUUCUAUAAUCGAUAAUCCACGAUCCACCCAACCGCUUCUUGCCAGAACAGCCUACAUACCGCCGUCGCCAGCCCACCUCAUUGAGAGCACAACAGUGGGCUAAAUAGCCCUACCGCUAACAAGACAGGUCAAGGUAUAGCUCAUGAAGCGGAAGAAAUGGGCUACAUUUUCUAACAUAGAAAACCCACGAACAGGGGCAUGAAAUUGCCCCCAGAAGGCGGAUUUAGCAGUAAAGAGGGAUAAUUAAGCCCCCUUUAAGACGGCACUGGGGCACGUACAUACCGCCCGUCACCCUCCUCAAAAAGCUAUCAAACCCUAUAACUUAAUACAUAAUCAGCCAAAGACGAGGU
This 926-nucleotide non-coding RNA is filed under the name Antrostomus vociferus. RNAcentral describes it as "partial 12S ribosomal RNA". It matches the Rfam family "Bacterial small subunit ribosomal RNA". The record is from RNAcentral. Lineage: Eukaryota; Metazoa; Chordata; Aves; Caprimulgiformes; Caprimulgidae.